GACGAACGCUGGCGGCGUGCUUAACACAUGCAAGUCGAACGGUAAGGCCCUUCGGGGUACACGAGUGGCGAACGGGUGAGUAACACGUGGGUGAUCUGCCCUGCACUUCGGGAUAAGCCUGGGAAACUGGGUCUAAUACCGGAUAGGACUCCGGACUGCAUGGUCUGGGGUGGAAAGCUUUUGCGGUGUGGGAUGGGCCCGCGGCCUAUCAGCUUGUUGGUGGGGUGAUGGCCUACCAAGGCGACGACGGGUAGCCGGCCUGAGAGGGGGACCGGCCACACUGGGACUGAGAUACGGCCCAGACUCCUACGGGAGGCAGCAGUGGGGAAUAUUGCACAAUGGGCGCAAACCUGAUGCAGCGACGCCGCGUGAGGGAUGACGGCCUUCGGGUUGUAAACCUCUUUCAGCACCGACGAAGCGCAAGUGACGGUAGGUGCAGAAGAAGGACCGGCCAACUACGUGCCAGGCGCCGCAGUAA
RNAcentral lists this ribosomal RNA (478 nucleotides) under uncultured bacterium. RNAcentral describes it as "partial 16S ribosomal RNA". It matches the Rfam family "Bacterial small subunit ribosomal RNA", at positions 28 to 523 of the family's 1533-position model. The record is from RNAcentral.